GGUUCCUGUCCAACGUUAAUCGGGGCAGGGUGAGUCGACCCCUAAGGCGAGGCCGAAAGGCGUAGUCGAUGGGAAACAGGUUAAUAUUCCUGUGCUUGGUGUUACUGCGAAGGGGGGACGGAGAAGGCUAUGUUGGCCGGGCGACGGUUGUCCCGGUUUAAGCGUGUAGGCUGGUUUUCCAGGCAAAUCCGGAAAAUCAAGGCUGAGGCGUGAUGACGAGGCACUACGGUGCUGAAGCAACAAAUGCCCUGCUUCCAGGAAAAGCCUCUAAGCAUCAGGUAACAUCAAAUCGUACCCCAAACCGACACAGGUGGUCAGGUAGAGAAUACCAAGGCGCUUGAGAGAACUCGGGUGAAGGAACUAGGCAAAAUGGUGCCGUAACUUCGGGAGAAGGCACGCUGAUAUGUAGGUGAAGUCCCUCGCGGAUGGAGCUGAAAUCAGUCGAAGAUACCAGCUGGCUGCAACUGUUUAUUAAAAACACAGCACUGUGCAAACACGAAAGUGGACGUAUACGGUGUGACGCCUGCCCGGUGCCGGAAGGUUAAUUGAUGGGGUCAGCGCAAGCGAAGCUCUUGAUCGAAGCCCCGGUAAACGGCGGCCGUAACUAUAACGGUCCUAAGGUAGCGAAAUUCCUUGUCGGGUAAGUUCCGACCUGCACGAAUGGCGUAAUGAUGGCCAGGCUGUCUCCACCCGAGACUCAGUGAAAUUGAACUCGCUGUGAAGAUGCAGUGUACCCGCGGCAAGACGGAAAGACCCCGUGAACCUUUACUAUAGCUUGACACUGAACAUUGAGCCUUGAUGUGUAGGAUAGGUGGGAGGCUUUGAAGUGUGGACGCCAGUCUGCAUGGAGCCGACCUUGAAAUACCACCCUUUAAUGUUUGAUGUUCUAACGUGGACCCGUAAUCCGGGUUGCGGACAGUGUCUGGUGGGUAGUUUGACUGGGGCGGUCUCCUCCUAAAGAGUAACGGAGGAGCACGAAGGUUGGCUAAUCCUGGUCGGACAUCAGGAGGUUAGUGCAAUGGCAUAAGCCAGCUUGACUGCGAGCGUGACGGCGCGAGCAGGUGCGAAAGCAGGUCAUAGUGAUCCGGUGGUUCUGAAUGGAAGGGCCAUCGCUCAACGGAUAAAAGGUACUCCGGGGAUAACAGGCUGAUACCGCCCAAGAGUUCAUAUCGACGGCGGUGUUUGGCACCUCGAUGUCGGCUCAUCACAUCCUGGGGCUGAAGUAGGUCCCAAGGGUAUGGCUGUUCGCCAUUUAAAGUGGUACGCGAGCUGGGUUUAGAACGUCGUGAGACAGUUCGGUCCCUAUCUGCCGUGGGCGCUGGAGAACUGAGGGGGGCUGCUCCUAGUACGAGAGGACCGGAGUGGACGCAUCACUGGUGUUCGGGUUGUCAUGCCAAUGGCACUGCCCGGUAGCUAAAUGCGGAAGAGAUAAGUGCUGAAAGCAUCUAAGCACGAAACUUGCCCCGAGAUGAGUUCUCCCUGACUCCUUGAGAGUCCUGAAGGAACGUU
Molecule: ribosomal RNA, 1509 nt
Filed under: Escherichia coli
Lineage: Bacteria; Pseudomonadati; Pseudomonadota; Gammaproteobacteria; Enterobacterales; Enterobacteriaceae
Description: partial 23S ribosomal RNA
Rfam family: Bacterial large subunit ribosomal RNA
Source: RNAcentral